Long non-coding RNA from Arachis duranensis, 2005 nucleotides. RefSeq lists it as uncharacterized. The transcript has 3 exons. The record is from RefSeq and is a predicted model, not a curated record. NCBI's taxonomy places the organism in Eukaryota, Viridiplantae, Streptophyta, Magnoliopsida, Fabales, Fabaceae.
AUCCACACUCCAAAUGAGAGCUUAUCAGGCAUCUUCCUCUCUAUUCACGCUCCAAACCUUUUUCCUCAGCGCCUUCAUCCACCGCAUUCUUCCAUCAUCAACACCUUUGGGACUUCCAUCACUCUCGUCGUCGUCAAUCAUCGCUGUUCCUGUCCUGUCCCUUCUCUUCCCCUCUUUUACGAGGAUAAACCAUAAUUCUCCUUCAAUGACUUUUUCUUCUCUUCAAACUUAACACCGAUUAGACUGGCAGUGAGGAUGAUGGCCUUUUGGAUUUGAGUGAAGAUGAUUUUUUCCUCGCUGGGAGUUCUAGUGAUGAAGCAGAUGCAGAUGAUGAAUGGACAGACAAAAGUAUGACGUGGGUAGAGAUGUUUUACAACUUAAGCAGUUAUUAUAUUAUGAAAAUUCAUAUACUCGCAGCAAGGUAAACGAUGUUAAGAAGAGCAACUGGAGUAUACCUGUUUGUGAUGCUAGUAUGGUCAAAUUGAAGCCAGUAAAUGGGUGUCAAUGAGUGGUCAAAUUGUUGAUGCUAGUAUGGUCAAAUUGAAGCAAGAUUCACUAAUUAACAAACAAGAACAUGGAGUGGUGGGUGUCAAUGCCAAAGGUGGAGUUGCAUGCUCAUCUCAAUGGAUCCAUUCACUAAUUAACAAACAAGAACAUGGUAACAUUUUUAAUUUAAUCACACUUUUUUUUAAUUUAUUUUAAUAAUUUAAUUUAAUAAUUUUUAAUAAUUUUUAAUUUAAUUUAAUUUAAUCACACUAUUUUAAUUUUAAUCACACAUGCCAAAGGUGUCAAUGCUCAUUUAAUUACGUUGGUAGUGAAGUCUAUGCUGGUGAUGAUGUGGUUACACUGCUUAUGCCUUGGUUAAGGAAGCUUAUUAAAUAUUGUUUUGUGCAAGGAAGCUUAUUAAAUAUUGUUUUGUUAGGCACUAAAAACCAGUAACUAUGGUUCUGAACCUAUGCUUCAAAAUUAUGGAAUUUCUAUAAGCACCGGCUUUACUCAAGUGGAUGGUCGUGUUCUGCCUUCACCAAGUGUAUUUAAUAUUUCUUUUGUCAUUGUGCUCUUGAAACUUGUUUAUUGUGUGCUGCCUUGUUGUUCUAUUUGAACUUGGUGACCUGAGGUUUUCUUAAUUAUGACUUGGAAGGUCCCUGAAGAAUAUAGUACUAAAUUUGAUGUAUCUUCUAUUUUAAAGGUAUAAAAUUCUAAUUCUUCCUCAUAUUAAUCAUCUAAAUGUUAGUAGUUAUUAACACAUAAGUUUUCUUGUUGAACUGGUGGCAGAGGUGUAGGCCUUUACUAGUUGUUACUAGCUGUGACAUUCUCAUUUAAACUCUGCAUUCUGAAUUACAAUUCAAAAUUGGUCAUUAGUUAUUGUUCCAAAGAACUCAUGACUUAUUCUCCAAUCAAAUACUAUCAUUUUUAUCUCAUGUAGAAUCUUUCUUUUUUGGUUUCUGUUUUGAUUUCCUUACUUUUAGUUUUAAGAGUGAAAAAGGCGACAUUGUUGGAAAUUGAAACAGAACCAAAAUACACUCAUGAUUUAUCAUAAACCUCUCUAUACAUAUCAUGGUGUAAAGUGCAAGGAUGACUAUAUUUUGUUAUGUAUAUAUUGUUCUAAAGGAAAAUGUUGAUUAAAUAGUUCUAACUUUAUAUAUUAGAGAUUUGGCGAUUGAUUAGGUCCAAAAGGUAGGAUAAUCAGCGAUAUUUUUGUUAAGUACUUAUUUAAUUUAAUAAAAGUACUGUGUUACAAGAUUGAAUGAACGUGUGGUGCUAAGUUGGUAAGUUCAAUGUUCAAUUGAAUUUGAAUUCUAAGAAAAAAGGUACAGUGUUUCUUUUACUAUAGGGUAGUGUUUCUUCUCUGAGACUGAUAUUCUCUUUUCCAGAAAAAAGAAACUUCUUUUGGAACAGAAUGGACCACAUGUUGCAAAAAUCUCAGUGUCUGUUCACUCAAAAUGAUCAAAAGAUGUACAACGUGGGAUAGCAAUGCUUGAAAGUGGCUCCAAAUUUCCUUACC